AGGUAGUAAAAAAUUUAAUAAAAACCUAUUUACAAAGGCGGCAUUUAAUUUUAUUAGAGGAAUCUGUUAAAUAAUAGAUACCCCACAAUAAAUUUUACUUUAAAUAAAAACUUAUAUACCGCCAUCUAAAGAAUUAAAUUAAAAAAUUUACUCCAAACAUGAUUAAUAAAAAGAUAGGUCAAGGUGUAGUCUAAAUUAAAGAUUUUUAAAUGGAUUACUUUAAAAACAUUUAAGGAAUAAAAUAUAUUAUUAUUUUACAAAUAAGGAUUUAAAAGUAAUAUAAUAAUAAUAUUUCUAUAUUAAUAAAACAAAAAAUGUGC
RNAcentral lists this ribosomal RNA (320 nucleotides) under Amyciaea sp. MR389. RNAcentral's name for it is "partial 12S ribosomal RNA". The record is from RNAcentral. Lineage: Eukaryota; Metazoa; Arthropoda; Arachnida; Araneae; Thomisidae.